CACUGGAUGAAACAGAUGGAUUCACUUGUCAGUCACAGUUAUCUUCUAGCUAUAGCCUACAAAACCUCAUCAACAAUACCUAUCAAGAACUAUGUUUGGUUGCACCAACAUCUCGUUGUUUGACUCUGCACCUGGUUUCUUUCUUCGCUCACGCUCCUCUACUGCAUGUCUGUUGAGAGAGCGACACAAAUGUUAAUGGGAAACAAGGCAAUCAGUUCCUACAUUGAGCGCCAGGGAACCAACCCAGAACAACACAAGUACACUGAGAUCUUUGGGACCAAGGACUUUAUUUAGUCAUUGCUCUCCUGCUACCCCCUGCUAUCUGGUGUGGGGCCACUGUGCUGUAGAUCACAUCAUCUGGUUCUGCUGCAUUUAUUUGUGUUUUGUUCUUGGUGACCACGGUGCUGUAUGUCACUGCAUCAUCAGGAAAUGGGUGCUGUUCAAGUCACUGGGGCUUUCAUGGUUUAGGGCCUGUUGUGCUGGUCCUCUAGUGUGACUCACAGUGCUGUAGGAAAUGUCCUGCUCAGGGUCAGCCGGCUGUACUUACCCUAACAACACAAGGUUAGAGGUUUUAUAACUUACACAUAUAAAACAUGUUGUUACAAGUCUACUGCCUAUCAACAGUGUUAAAUGUAACCCUGCCUUGUAAUAAAGUCUACUGUGUAUAGUGCUAAAUGUAACCCUGCCUUGUUACAAAGUGUACUAUGUAUAGUGUUAAAUGUAACCCUGCCAUUAACUGUAAUCAGAUGAACAAAUAAUAGGUUUUAUGACAUACAAUUUAAAUACUUUUCUACAUUCAAAACCUAUCAUCUUUAUUAUUUUUCAAAGUCCACUACUUAACAUUGUGUAUGUAUAGAGUGAAAUUAGUAUUU
Long non-coding RNA from Oncorhynchus kisutch (coho salmon), 872 nucleotides. RefSeq lists it as uncharacterized. NCBI's taxonomy places the organism in Eukaryota, Metazoa, Chordata, Actinopteri, Salmoniformes, Salmonidae. The record is from RefSeq and is a predicted model, not a curated record. The transcript is spliced from 3 exons.